GAUGAACGCUAGCGGCAGGCCUAAUACAUGCAAGUCGAACGGGAUUUAACAGUGAGCUUGCUCACUGUUAAUGAGAGUGGCGCACGGGUGCGUAACGCGUGAGCAACCUGCCCAUGUCAGGGGUAUAGCCCGUUGAAAGACGGAUUAACACCGCAUAACGAUAUCAUUCGGCAUCGAAAGAUAUCCAAAUAUUUAUAGGACAUGGAUGGGCGCGCGUGGCAUUCGCUAGUUGGUGCGGUAACGGCGCACCAAGGCCACGAUGCCUAGGGGCUCUGAGAGGAGGCUCCCCCACACUGGUACUGAGACACGGAACAGACUCCUACGGGAGGCAGCAGUAAGGAAUAUUGGUCAAUGGGCGGAAGCCUGAACCAGCCAUGCCGCGUGCAGGACGAAUGCCCUACGGGUAGUAAACUGCUUUUGUACGGGAACAAACGAUAGUACGUGUACUAUCCUGAGUGUACCGUAAGAAUAAGGAUCGGCUAACUCCGUGCCAGCAGCCGCCGUAA
RNAcentral lists this ribosomal RNA (506 nucleotides) under uncultured bacterium. RNAcentral's name for it is "partial 16S ribosomal RNA". It matches the Rfam family "Bacterial small subunit ribosomal RNA", at positions 28 to 523 of the family's 1533-position model. The record is from RNAcentral.